Molecule: non-coding RNA, 620 nt
Organism: Callithrix jacchus (white-tufted-ear marmoset)
Lineage: Eukaryota; Metazoa; Chordata; Mammalia; Primates; Cebidae
Source: RefSeq, a predicted model, not a curated record
GAUUUCGUAUUAAAAGCAGCCAAUCAGGAGAGUGAGAUUCAAGGCGAUCAGAGAUCUGAAAACCGAAUGUUUGGGAUAAGACUAUUACCACAGGAUCUCCACAAGAUAAGCCUGAAUUGUGUCCUGUGACAUUCAGCAGUAGGCUACAUAGCAACAUCCUUGACCUCUACUGACUAGAUGGCAUUCUCCAAGUUGUGACAACGAACAGUGUCUUCAGACAUAGCCAAAGGUCUCCUGGAGGGCAAAACCAGUCCCAUUUGGGAGCUGUGGGCUUAGAAUAAUGACAUCAUACUUCCAGAGCCCUGGCUUCAUGAAGAAGUUGAGAAUAAAGAGAAGUGGGGAUCUAUUUAGAAGAGAAAGGAAAGAAUGGAUGUCAGUGAAGAUGGUGGAGCAAUGCAGUAGAAGUUGCAAGGUGGAGAAGAGGUUUUGAGGUCCAUGUGCAGAACAUGCAAGAUAGUUGCAUAGGUACACACGUGAGUUAUUCCUUUUUAACUUUCAUUAUGGUUUAUGCCUUUUUCAUGACUCAUUUUAUUCUCAAGAACUGCUUUUGUAAUACUGAAUAGGUAUUAUGGUAACGAACAUCCUCAUCUCAUUAUAUCACAAAAAUAUCUUUUGGAAUU